CCGGCGCACGGGUGAGUAACGCGUAUGCAACUUACUAUCAGGAGGGGGAUAACCCGGCGAAAGUCGGACUAAUACCGCAUGAAGCAGGGGUCCCGCAUGGGGAUAUUUGCUAAAGAUUCAUCGCUGAUAGAUAGGCAUGCGUUCCAUUAGGCAGUUGGCGGGGUAACGGCCCACCAAACCGACGAUGGAUAGGGGUUCUGAGAGGAAGGUCCCCCACAUUGGUACUGAGACACGGACCAA
RNAcentral lists this ribosomal RNA (240 nucleotides) under uncultured bacterium. RNAcentral describes it as "partial 16S ribosomal RNA". It matches the Rfam family "Bacterial small subunit ribosomal RNA", at positions 95 to 334 of the family's 1533-position model. The record is from RNAcentral.